GAGGCUGUAGCUCAGUGGUAGAGCACCUGCUUUCUAUGCGGAAGGCCCUGGGUUCAAUCCCCAGCAUCUUCA
Non-coding RNA from Elgaria multicarinata webbii, 72 nucleotides. The record is from the annotation of a RefSeq genome assembly. NCBI's taxonomy places the organism in Eukaryota, Metazoa, Chordata, Lepidosauria, Squamata, Anguidae.